This 253-nucleotide ribosomal RNA is filed under the name uncultured bacterium. RNAcentral describes it as "partial 16S ribosomal RNA". It matches the Rfam family "Bacterial small subunit ribosomal RNA", at positions 524 to 776 of the family's 1533-position model. The record is from RNAcentral.
GACGUAGGGCGCGAGCGUUGUCCGGAUUUAUUGGGCGUAAAGAGCUCGUAGGCGGCUCGUUGCGUCGGCUGUGAAAACCCGCAGCUCAACUGUGGGCUUGCAGCUGAUACGGGCGGGCUGGGAUUCGGUAGGGGAGACUGGAAUUCCUGGUGUAGCGGUGAAAUGCGCAGAUAUCAGGAGGAACACCGGUGGCGAAGGCGGUUCUCUGGGCAUGAUCUGACGCUGAGGAGCGAAAGUGUGGGGAGCGAACAGG